GCCCUCAUAGCUCAGGGGAUAGAGCGUCUGCCUCCGGAGCAGAAGGUCGUAGGUUCGAUUCCUACUGAGGGCA
Molecule: transfer RNA, 73 nt
Filed under: Antricoccus suffuscus
Lineage: Bacteria; Bacillati; Actinomycetota; Actinomycetes; Geodermatophilales; Antricoccaceae
Rfam family: tRNA
About the family: Transfer RNA (tRNA) molecules are approximately 80 nucleotides in length.
Source: Rfam by way of RNAcentral